This is a small nucleolar RNA of Brassica oleracea var. oleracea, 124 nucleotides long. It matches the Rfam family "Small nucleolar RNA snoR74". Lineage: Eukaryota; Viridiplantae; Streptophyta; Magnoliopsida; Brassicales; Brassicaceae. The record is from Rfam.
UAAAAAGCAGAGAUCUGUAGCAAUUAACAUAUACUUCAGGGACAUUGAAAUGGUCAUCCUGAUUGGGUGAAUCUUAAUUUAAUUUUCUUAUAGCUAUAAAGAUUCAGUACAUGAUGGUAAAUUC